CCUGUUUCCCUGGUGCCCUUGGAUGAUACAAUUAAAGUCUCCUGCGUUGAUGUGCUCAUGGUCUCCUCGCUCCGUGCUCCCUCACAGUAGCACCGUGACAAAUAUAUUAAUAGUUUAUUUAUUUCAGUUUUAGAUAAUUUAAUGCUUAAACUUAUUUCAAGAGAAAACCUCUUUUUUUUUUUUUUUAUCUGUUAUUUAUUUUGUGUUAAGCUUCAUUUGAAUUACCAAAAGCAAUUUUAAUAGCCGUAAUGAUUCAAUUAACCUCAACGCUGGACUCCAGUAAUUGUGGGAUGAACCAAAAUCAUUCACUUUAAAUCAGUUUCUGUCUUUCUCCAUCUGCUUGGGCUUCGAGUUCAGCUGGAAAAGGGACAUUAUUCCAUUUAUACUGUCAAAUAAAAGUUGUAACCUGAACAUCGGCAGAAUUUAUAAGCGUUUGCAGCUUUAUUCAGAAUUUACAACAUCGCUGCUGCCAGAAACACAACAUUUAGCCCAUACAGCCAAAAAGACUGAGAUAUACUCAGAAUCCCCUGUUUAGUUAUUGAUGCAUCAGAUGAAUAACUCCGCAUGUAUUUAGUAGAUUGUGAAGCUUGUUUGCUGAAUGCAUGAACCGAUAAAAUGCACAACUGAAAAUCUGCCAAAUGCAUUUUAUUUCAGUUUAUAGCUACAACCGUUCAUUCUGUUCUUGAUAUUCAUUAAUGCAUUAGUCUCUUGCUCAUGUGAUCUGACAAACAAUCACAGCUGGUGAUGACAGGAGAUUUGUGUUUUACAUGACUUUUACUCUUUUGUGAAGAUCCUCAAUCCUUUGAUCCCAGUAACUGCAGUGAUGUAGUCUGAAACAUUAUGACAAUUAAACAAACACUUGCUAAGAUGAAAAGUGUUACACGAGCUCCAGUCGGACCCAACAAUAACAAAGAUUCAAUCGCUUCACGCACUCUCUUAAUGUGGGAAAGUGUUUGGAAAAUCAUGAACUGCGAUUCUGAGCCACACAAAUCUGUUUACAUUCAAUCAACAAACGCAAGAGCAGAUUUCCACAUCCCACAUUCUCCGCUGGUCAUAUCGGAGCACUUCAGACGAUUUUUCCAAGAGAACGCACUAAAAACAAGUCAAGUGGCACAUGUUCCUUAAUGACAUCAUCUAUCAUCCUGCAGGAAGUGACAUUAUUUUGGAGGGAAAUCCACAUCAACCCAGUAGCAGUAAAUGAACCUGGAUCGGACGUCUCACUGCUUCCUUCGGCA
Cyprinus carpio carpio is the source of this 1235-nucleotide long non-coding RNA. NCBI's taxonomy places the organism in Eukaryota, Metazoa, Chordata, Actinopteri, Cypriniformes, Cyprinidae. The record is from Ensembl.